Molecule: RNA transcript, 1533 nt
Organism: Rosa chinensis
Lineage: Eukaryota; Viridiplantae; Streptophyta; Magnoliopsida; Rosales; Rosaceae
Exons: 6
Source: RefSeq, a predicted model, not a curated record
AAGCCGGUUUUUUUUUUUUGACCAAAAUUAAACUUUCCCCUUUACUCGUAUUCUAAAACACUGAAUUCGACUCUCGUUCUCUCAAACCGAGUCCUCUGACCUCUCUCUCAGUCCCCUACUCCCCUUGAUACAAAAAUGAAAACCCAGAGACCGGGUCUCGACGGUGGACGACGGCGGCAUGGCGGGCGGAAGCUUUAUCGCUUCUCUAUCUCCUCGAACAAUGGUCUUGGUCUCUCCACAUCACUCGAGAUCUCGGUCUCUCCUCGUCGUCUCUCUCCCAAGUCUCAAUAUCUCCUCGACGGCUCCGGCCCUCUCCUUCUCUCCUCAACUAUCGAAGGUCUUUUUCAUCCUCGUAAGCCGACAGCUCUAAUCGAAAGCAGAGAAAUGGAGCAGAUCCAGUUCAAUCCUGGAGGUCUCUCUUUUUAUCUUUUAUCCUUUCUUCUCUUUCAAUUCAUAUAUCAUUUAAUUGUUUGUUAUGCUGCAAUUUGCGAACACCCAGAACGAGAAAUUGGUCCAACGUAGAUACAAAUAAGGUAGGACAAAGGCUUUAUGUGCCUCCUGAGCUGGAAACGAUAAUUCUUUGUCCGUCUGUCUCUGUGCGACUGUUGUUUGUUUUAUUUUUGGUAUCUUUGAUCCUCUGCUGUUAGGUCUUGUUCUUCCUUUUCUUCCACUUCUCUGCAAAUCUUCAUAUCUACGCGGAUUGACCAUCAAAUUUCCGCCAACGUUUGGCCCUCUGGGUCAAUCACGCAAUCUCAAUUUACAUUGGCUUUUGAAUGGUGGCUUGGUUUGCUCAUCAAUCCUAGUCUGAAAGUUUGGUGUUGAACAUCAAGAUGGGAGCUUGUGCGUCCAAGGUCAGUGUUCUUUUCAUUCUUCCGAUCCUUAUGUUUUCUUCAGCGGCUUAAGACUUCUCAUAUGUCAAUUGAUAGUAAUAAUAUAUCUUCCUCCCAGGAAGUUUGCGGGCAAUUGUUGGACGAUAGUUCAAUUUCUAUGCUUAAAAUGGCACUACGAAAAGUCUGAAUCAUUGGCUAAAAGCAUCAACAAAUCAGAGAGAGAACAUGAACUUGUAAUUGCUUCUAUAUCAUCUAGGACAUCUUUCAGAACAUCUGGAACAUCUUUCUGUAGUUUUUUUGCUGUAAGUUGUAUAUAUCUAGAACAUCUUUCAGAAUCAGUGGGUGAGAGAAAUGAAAGAGAAAGAUAAAAAUCAUGUCCUUCGCCAAAGCAAUCAUAUUUGGUCAAGAACCUUGGUACCAUUGCAAGGUCUGGCACCAAGAAAUUCAUGGAAGCCUUGGCAGCGUGGCUGCUGGACCUGAUUUUAGCAUGAUUGGUCAGUUUGGUGUUGGGUUCUACUUUGCAUAUCUUGUUGUUAAGAAGGAAGAGGAAGUUGAUGAAGAGAAGGAAGUGGUCAUGUUUCUGGCCUUGAUGUUUUUCACCUUUUUGUUUAGGCAGGGUUAGUAUGUUCAUGUUAGGAUGAUGAUGGAAUGAAUUGGUUUUGGAUAUUUAAUCAAUUAAUGGAUAUGUUUUUGGAUGUGUUGA